GCGAAAGCCUGACGCAUCGACGCCGCGUGAGUGAACACUGCUUGCGAGUUGUAAAACUCUUCCCUGGGGGAAGAGGAAGGACGGGACCCGAGGAAUAAGCGUCGGCUAACUACGUGCCAUCAGCCGCGGUACGACGUAGGACGCGAGCGUUAUCCGGAUUUACUGGGCUGUGCGCGCCUGUAGGCGGCUUUGUACGUUGGGCGGUGACGUCCCCGUGCUUAACCCGGGGCAGGCCGUUCAAUACUGCGGAGCUAGAGUACGGCAGAGGGGAGUGGAAUUCCCGGAGUAGCGGUAAAAUGCGCAGAUAUCAGGAGGAACACCAGUGGCGAAGGCGGCUCCCUGGGCCGAGACUGACGCUCAGAGCCGAAAGCUAGGGGACCGAACAGGAUAAGAGACCCUGGUAGUCCUAGCCCUAAACGAUGGAUGCUAGGUGUGGGGACGAGGAGCCCCCGUGCCGGAGCAAACGCGAUAAGCAUCCCGCCUGGGGAGUACGCCCGCAAGGGUAAAACUCAAACGAAUUGACGGGGGCCCGCACAAGCAGCGGAGCGUGUGGUUUAAUUCGAUGCUACACGAAGAACCCUACACGGGUUUGACAUGUAGAUGUUAGAGAGGCGAAAGCUGAGCGACCCCUCGGGGAGCGUACACAGGUGCUGCAUGGCUGUCGUCAGAUCGUGCCGUGAGAUGUCGGGUUAAGUCCCGUAACGAGCGCAACCCCUGCUCCUAGUUAUACGUGUCUAUGGGGGACUGCCGGCGGGAAGCCGGAGGAAGAUGGGGAUGACAUCAAGUCAGCAUGGCCCUUAUGUCCAGGGCUACACACACGC
This 821-nucleotide ribosomal RNA is filed under the name uncultured organism. Its description in RNAcentral is "bacterial SSU rRNA". It matches the Rfam family "Bacterial small subunit ribosomal RNA", at positions 375 to 1225 of the family's 1533-position model. The record is from RNAcentral.